GGCCCCUUCGUCUAGUGGUUAGGACACAAGCCUUUCACGCUUGUAACACGGGUUCAAAUCCCGUAGGGGUCACCA
RNAcentral lists this transfer RNA (75 nucleotides) under Alphaproteobacteria bacterium. RNAcentral's name for it is "tRNA-Glu". It matches the Rfam family "tRNA". Rfam says of the family: Transfer RNA (tRNA) molecules are approximately 80 nucleotides in length. Their secondary structure includes four short double-helical elements and three loops (D, anti-codon, and T loops). The record is from RNAcentral. Lineage: Bacteria; Pseudomonadati; Pseudomonadota; Alphaproteobacteria. RNAcentral also lists the same sequence under 1 other name.